CUAGCUUCUAUCUAAAUACAAUAUAGCAUGUCCUGACUGCGGGGUUUUGGAAAAAAAUUCAAACGUACAGCUCUGCUAUAACUUCCAACAUAAAUGAAGACAGAAAACUAAACAGCAGUGACGUUUGUAGGGUUACUGAAGUUGGGCUAGCUGGUAUAUAAUGAUGUGCUACGUGACCGCUAGCGACACAGCUAUGUUAGCAUAACAUAAACAAGCUAACUUUUUUUCCACUCGAUAAAAGUUAACGUGAGUGUUCUCGGUGGUCAGGAACAAAUGGCAGGAUGCUGUAAAAGGACUAAACUUCAGCCAGGAGAACAACUGAGAUAAUCCAUCCACAAUACGAGGGUGAUGUAAGCAUGAAUUGAAGCAGUUACCAUUUUUGAUACCAUGUUCUUCAAACAAGUAAUGGGGGUCGCUUGGAUGGGUGACGAAACGUUGGUCCCACUGAAAACGCUACAUCCAGAUGAACGCAGUCAACUUUUCCUGGGAUUUCCUUACCUGGAUGAUGGAGCAUGCAUCAAGACGGUGCACUUGGAAAUUAUUUCAAUAUCAUCAUUAAAGCUGAAAUGUGUUGGAGUGAAAUAUGGAAAACGAACUUUUAAAAAAGAUUGAGAAUUUGAAGAACACUUACAAUAUCAUUAAAAUAGUACAGGUUUUUAGAGAUAUGUGCCAUUGUUUCCUUUGAAACACAAAGUCUUGUUUUGUGUUCCUGACAGCCACAAGACCUGCACCAGCUGGGCUCUCACUCCCUCACAGCUAUAAGGCCUCAUGUCUUCUGGGGUGACUCAAACACAAUAAACCACAAAAUAACAGACAAAUUGGGGCAGAUGGAGGAGGGAGAUGACGAGGGAAAAAUUUUGUCUGUGAAAGACGAAAAGGACAUGGAGGGGAAACAAAGAAAACAUAAAGGUGCAUGACGAGGCAUCAAUAAAACAAGAAAAGAGGAAGAUGUGUUUUGUCUGUUGACAGGUAAAACAG
Long non-coding RNA from Oreochromis aureus, 978 nucleotides. Lineage: Eukaryota; Metazoa; Chordata; Actinopteri; Cichliformes; Cichlidae. The record is from Ensembl.